This 433-nucleotide ribosomal RNA is filed under the name uncultured bacterium. RNAcentral describes it as "partial 16S ribosomal RNA". It matches the Rfam family "Bacterial small subunit ribosomal RNA", at positions 29 to 507 of the family's 1533-position model. The record is from RNAcentral.
AACGAACGCUGGCGGCAUGCCUAACACAUGCCAGUCGAACGAGACCUUCGGGUCUAGUGGCGCACGGGUGAGUAACGCGUGGGAACCUGCCCUUAGGUUCGGAAUAACUCCCCGAAAGGGGUGCUAAUACCGGAUAAUGUCUUCGGACCAAAGAUUUAUCGCCUUUGGAUGGGCCCGCGUUGGAUUAGCUAGUUGGUAGGGUAAAAGCCUACCAAGGCGACGAUCCAUAGCUGGUCUGAGAGGAUGAUCAGCCACACUGGGACUGAGACACGGCCCAGACUCCUACGGGAGGCAGCAGUGGGUAAUAUUGGACAAUGGGCGAAAGCCUGAUCCAGCAAUGCCGCGUGAGUGAUGAAGGCCUUAGGGUUGUAAAGCUCUUUUACCCGGGAUGAUAAUGACAGUACCGGGAGAAUAAGCUCCGGCUAACUCCGUG